AAAGGACAAAGGCAAAGUUCCAGCCCUAACUCUACGGCUAUCAAAAGGACCCGAGAUGUCCGCUGAGCUCUGCUCACUUCUCGAGGACUCUUUUACACCUGUAAAGGGGGAAUGCCAUUACCUGUCCCCUGCCUGGUUCCCAAGGACUAAUGAGUGAGGAUUUAAGAGACAAUCUCCAAGGACCUCAGGAAUUAAUUCACGAACAUUAGGUUAAGAAGCUCUGGCCCCAGGAAUCCACCAAUCCAGGUAGAGGAAGUUGUCAUAUGGAAUUAGCAAUAUUGAGAGGAAUCAAGAAGCAUGCAAUCAAAACUAAGCAUUAUUUUAUCCAAUUGUUUCUUAUUCUGUUCCCAGCCAAUAACUUAUUAGAAUUAAGUCAAAGGAUCUAUACCCCUUUCUAAAUAAAAAUUGCUCAAGAGAUUUAAGAAAC
This is a non-coding RNA of Monodelphis domestica (gray short-tailed opossum), 427 nucleotides long. The record is from RefSeq and is a predicted model, not a curated record. Lineage: Eukaryota; Metazoa; Chordata; Mammalia; Didelphimorphia; Didelphidae.